Molecule: ribosomal RNA, 509 nt
Filed under: uncultured delta proteobacterium
Lineage: Bacteria; Deltaproteobacteria
Description: bacterial SSU rRNA
Rfam family: Bacterial small subunit ribosomal RNA
Source: RNAcentral
AAUGAACGCUGGCGGCGUGCUUAACACAUGCAAGUCGAACGAGAAAGCCGAAAGCUUGCUUUUGGCGAGUAAAGUGGCGCACGGGUGAGUAACGCGUGGGUAAUCUACCUCCGAAUUUGGGAUAACACUUCGAAAGGGGUGCUAAUACCGGAUAACAUCCAUUAUACUUUGGUGUGAUGGAUCAAAGAUAGCCGCUUCGUGAAAGCUAUUGUUUGGAGAUGAGCCCGCGUCCCAUUAGCUAGUUGGUAGGGUAACGGCCUACCAAGGCAUCGAUGGGUAGCUGGUCUGAGAGGAUGGCCAGCCACACUGGAACUGGAACACGGUCCAGACUCCUACGGGAGGCAGCAGUGAGGAAUUUUGCGCAAUGGGGGCAACCCUGACGCAGCAACGCCGCGUGAGUGAUGAAGGCUUUCGGGUCGUAAAGCUCUGUCAAGUGGGAAGAACCUGUUUAUUGUUAAUAGCGAUAAGCACUGACGGUACCACUGAAGGAAGCACCGGCUAACUCCGUG